UUCUGGCUCAGGAUGAACGCUGGCGGCGUGCCUAACACAUGCAAGUCGAGCGAUUACUUCGGUAAAGAGCGGCGGACGGGUGAGUAACGCGUGGGUAACCUGCCUCAUACACAUGGAUAACAUACCGAAAGGUAUGCUAAUACAGGAUAAUAUAAGAGAUUCACAUGGAUUUCUUAUCAAAGCUCCGGCGGUAUGAGAUGGACCCGCGUCUGAUUAGCUAGUUGGUAAGGUAAUGGCUUACCAAGGCGACGAUCAGUAGCCGACCCGAGAGGGUGAUCGGCCACAUUGGAACUGAGACACGGUCCAAACUCCUACGGGAGGCAGCAGUGGGGAAUAUUGCACAAUGGGCGAAAGCCUGAUUGCAGCAACGCCGCGUGAGUGAUGAAGGCCUUCGGGUCGUAAAACUCUGUCCUCAAGGAAGAUAAUGACGGUACUUGAGGAGGAAGCCCCGGCUAACUACGUGCCAGCCGCCGC
RNAcentral lists this ribosomal RNA (474 nucleotides) under uncultured bacterium. RNAcentral's name for it is "bacterial SSU rRNA". It matches the Rfam family "Bacterial small subunit ribosomal RNA", at positions 17 to 518 of the family's 1533-position model. The record is from RNAcentral.